This 493-nucleotide ribosomal RNA is filed under the name uncultured bacterium. Its description in RNAcentral is "partial 16S ribosomal RNA". It matches the Rfam family "Bacterial small subunit ribosomal RNA", at positions 29 to 523 of the family's 1533-position model. The record is from RNAcentral.
AUUGAACGCUGGCGGCAUGCUUUACACAUGCAAGUCGAACGGUAACAGGUUAAGCUGACGAGUGGCGAACGGGUGAGUAAUGCAUCGGAACGUGCCCGGUCGUGGGGGAUAACGCAGCGAAAGCUGCGCUAAUACCGCAUACGGUCUGAGGAUGAAAGCGGGGGACCGUAAGGCCUCGCGCGAUCGGAGCGGCCGAUGUCAGAUUAGGUAGUUGGUGGGGUAAAGGCUCACCAAGCCAACGAUCUGUAGCUGGUCUGAGAGGACGACCAGCCACACUGGGACUGAGACACGGCCCAGACUCCUACGGGAGGCAGCAGUGGGGAAUUCUGGACAAUGGGCGAAAGCCUGAUCCAGCAAAGCCGCGUGCAGGAAGAAGGCCUUCGGGUUGUAAACUGCUUUUGUACGGAGCGAAAAGGUCUCCUCUAAUACAGGGGGCUCAUGACGGUACCGUAAGAAUAAGCACCGGCUAACUACGUGCCAGCAGCCGCAGUAA